GACGAACGCUGGCGGCGUGCCUAAUACAUGCAAGUAGAACGCUGAAGCGAGGAGCUUGCUCUUCUUGGAUGAGUUGCGAACGGGUGAGUAACGCGUAGGUAACCUGCCUUGUAGCGGGGGAUAACUAUUGGAAACGAUAGCUAAUACCGCAUAACCAUGGAUGACACAUGUCAUUUAUUUGAAAGGGGCAAUUGCUCCACUACAAGAUGGACCUGCGUUGUAUUAGCUAGUAGGUGAGGUAAUGGCGCACCUAGGCGACGAUACAUAGCCGACCUGAGAGGGUGGGCGGCCACCCUGGGACUGAGACACGGCACAGACGCCUACGGGAGGCAGCAGGAGGGAAACUUCGGCAAUGGGGGCAAACCUGACCGAGCAACGCCGCGGGAGUGAAGAAGGGUGUCGGAUCGUAAAGCUCUGUUGUAAGUCAAGAACGGGUGUGAGAGUGGAAAGUUCACACUGUGACGGUAGCUGAUCAGAAAGGGACGGCUAACUACGUG
Molecule: ribosomal RNA, 497 nt
Filed under: uncultured bacterium
Lineage: Bacteria
Description: partial 16S ribosomal RNA
Rfam family: Bacterial small subunit ribosomal RNA
Source: RNAcentral